Molecule: non-coding RNA, 22 nt
Filed under: Rattus norvegicus (Norway rat)
Lineage: Eukaryota; Metazoa; Chordata; Mammalia; Rodentia; Muridae
Source: RNAcentral
UGAUUUCCAGAUGCUGCUCCAA